Molecule: non-coding RNA, 24 nt
Filed under: Mus musculus (house mouse)
Lineage: Eukaryota; Metazoa; Chordata; Mammalia; Rodentia; Muridae
Source: RNAcentral
UUCCGAGUCAGGCAAAACUAGGAG